RNAcentral lists this non-coding RNA (28 nucleotides) under Mus musculus (house mouse). The record is from RNAcentral. Lineage: Eukaryota; Metazoa; Chordata; Mammalia; Rodentia; Muridae.
UAGAAUUAGUCAACGAGCCACCUUCCUC